UACGUAGGGGGCAAGCGUUGUCCGGAUUUACUGGGCGUAAAGAGCGUGUAGGCGGCCAAGCAGGUCCGUUGUGAAAACUGGAGGCUUAACCUCCAGACGUCGACGGAAACCGCGUGGCUAGAGUCCGGAAGAGGAGAGUGGAAUUCCCGGUGUAGCGGUGAAAUGCGCAGAUAUCGGGAAGAACACCUAUGGCGAAGGCAGCUCUCUGGGACGGUACUGACGCUGAGACGCGAAAGCGUGGGGAGCGAACAGG
Molecule: ribosomal RNA, 253 nt
Filed under: uncultured bacterium
Lineage: Bacteria
Description: partial 16S ribosomal RNA
Rfam family: Bacterial small subunit ribosomal RNA
Source: RNAcentral